ACGGGGUGCAGCAGGCGCGAAAACUUUGCAAUGUGCGAAAGCACGACAAGGUUAAUCCGAGUGGCCUCUGCUGAAGAGGUCUUUUGACAGUCCUAGAAACACUGUCGAAUAAGGGGUGGGCAAGUUCUGGUGUCAGCCGCCGCGGUAAAACCAGCACCUCAAGUGGUCAGGAUGAUUAUUGGGCCUAAAGCAUCCGUAGCCGGAUCUAUAAGUUUUCGGUUAAAUCUAUGCGCUCAACGUAUAGGCUGCCGGAAAUACUGUGGAUCUAGGGAGUGGGAGAGGUAGACGGUACUCGGUAGGAAGAGGUAAAAUUCACUAAUCUAUCGAUGACCACCUGUGGCGAAGGCGGUCUACCAGAACACGUCCGACGGUGAGGGAUGAAAGCUGGGGGAGCAAACCGGAUUAGAUACCCGGUUAGUCCCAGCUGUAAACAAUGCAAACUUAAUGAUGCAUCCGGUUGAUUUCUGUGCACUGUUGCAGGGAUCCCGUUAUGUUUGUCUCUUGGGAUUUUUCGUACGCAUGUAUGAAACUUCCCUCGAUUUGGCGGGGGAGCAC
RNAcentral lists this ribosomal RNA (555 nucleotides) under uncultured marine archaeon. RNAcentral's name for it is "bacterial SSU rRNA". It matches the Rfam family "Archaeal small subunit ribosomal RNA", at positions 325 to 879 of the family's 1478-position model. The record is from RNAcentral.